ACCCGCUGAAUUUAAGCAUAUCAAUAAGCGGAGGAAAAGAAACCAACAGGGAUUGCCCCAGUAACGGCGAGUGAAGCGGCAACAGCUCAAAUUUGAAAUCUGGCCCCCCGGCCCGAGUUGUAAUUUGCAGAGGAUGCUUUUGGUGAGGCACCUACCGAGUCCCCUGGAAUGGGGCGCCAUAGAGGGUGAGAGCCCCGUAUGGUAGGACGCCGAACCUCUGUAAAGCUCCUUCGACGAGUCGAGUAGUUUGGGAAUGCUGCUCUAAAUGGGAGGUAAAUUUCUUCUAAAGCUAAAUACCGGCCAGAGACCGAUAGCGCACAAGUAGAGUGAUCGAAAGAUGAAAAGCACUUUGAAAAGAGGGUUAAAAAGUACGUGAAAUUGUUGAAAGGGAAGCGCUUGUGACCAGACUUGCGCCGGGCGGAUCAUCCAGCGUUCUCGCUGGUGCACUCCGCCCGGUUCAGGCCAGCAUCGGUUUUCGCCGGGGGACAAAGGCUUCGGGAACGUGGCUCCUUUCGGGGAGUGUUAUAGCCCGUUGCGUAAUACCCCGGCGGGGACCGACGACCGCGCUUCGGCAAGGAUGCUGGCGUAAUGGUCAUCAGCGACCCGUCUUGAAACACGGACCAAGGAG
RNAcentral lists this ribosomal RNA (628 nucleotides) under uncultured fungus. RNAcentral describes it as "eukaryotic LSU rRNA". It matches the Rfam family "Eukaryotic large subunit ribosomal RNA", at positions 23 to 673 of the family's 3401-position model. The record is from RNAcentral. Lineage: Eukaryota; Fungi.